GUUGAUGUGGCUGAAGUUGAAGCGGUAAAUUGUAAAUUUAUUUAUAGUAGUAAUAUUCAUCAAUA
This 65-nucleotide transfer RNA is filed under the name Prionopetalum kraepelini. Its description in RNAcentral is "tRNA-Tyr". It matches the Rfam family "tRNA". From Rfam's summary of the family: Transfer RNA (tRNA) molecules are approximately 80 nucleotides in length. Their secondary structure includes four short double-helical elements and three loops (D, anti-codon, and T loops). Further hydrogen bonds mediate the characteristic L-shaped molecular structure. tRNAs have two regions of fundamental functional importance: the anti-codon, which is responsible for specific mRNA codon recognition, and the 3' end, to which the tRNAs corresponding amino acid is attached (by aminoacyl-tRNA synthetases). tRNAs cope with the degeneracy of the genetic code in two manners: having more than one tRNA (with a specific anti-codon) for a particular amino acid; and 'wobble' base-pairing, i.e. permitting non-standard base-pairing at the 3rd anti-codon position. The record is from RNAcentral. Lineage: Eukaryota; Metazoa; Arthropoda; Diplopoda; Spirostreptida; Odontopygidae.